Molecule: ribosomal RNA, 440 nt
Filed under: uncultured bacterium
Lineage: Bacteria
Description: partial 16S ribosomal RNA
Rfam family: Bacterial small subunit ribosomal RNA
Source: RNAcentral
CCUACGGGUGGCAGCAGUGGGGGAUAUUGCACAAUGGGGGAAACCCUGAUGCAGCGACGCCGCGUGGGUGAAGAAGCGCCUCGGCGCGUAAAGCCCUGUCAGCAGGGAAGAAAAUGACGGUACCUGAAGAAGAAGCCCCGGCUAACUACGUGCCAGCAGCCGCGGUAAUACGUAGGGGGCAAGCGUUAUUCGGAUUUACGGGGGGUAAAGGGGGCGGAGACGGGGGUGCAAGCCAGGAGUGAAAGCCCGGGGCGCAACCCCGGGACUGCAGUUGGAACUGCGUGGCGAGAGUGCAGGAGGGGCAGGCGGAAUUCCUGGUGUAGGGGUGAAAUGCGUAGAUAUCAGGAGGAACACCGGUGGCGAAGGCGACCUGCUGGACUGCAACUGACGUUGAGGCCCGAAAGCGUGGGGAGCAAACAGGAUUAGAUACCCGGGUAGUC